AUCUUGACAGAGGCUUUGUGAUUACAACUCAUGUUCCUACAGAACUUCAAAUAGCAGAUAUUUUCACAAAAGGGCUUCCUCCGGGUAGAUUUCAAGAUCUUGUAGGCAAGUUGGGAAUGAUUGAUAUUCAUUUACCAACUUGAGGGGGAGUGUUGUAAUAUGGGAUAAUAUCUAUAGGAUCUUCUUAAUUAGAGGAAGAUUGAUACAUAAUAUUUUAUUUUAUUUUAUUUUUCCCUAGGUUUCCUAGUUUCCCUAUUUCCCUUUUCAGGAGAACUAGAUUAUUACAAAUAGAAGGUUUGAGAAUGUAUUUUUCAUGAUUUGAGAAUAAUAAUAAGUCUCAUUU
Molecule: long non-coding RNA, 343 nt
Filed under: Vigna radiata
Lineage: Eukaryota; Viridiplantae; Streptophyta; Magnoliopsida; Fabales; Fabaceae
Description: long non-coding RNA (VRAD_LNC017237)
Source: RNAcentral